GCCAUGUGGCGACACAGCGCGGAACCCGAAAACGCCACUCAGUUCGGAUCGGAGUCUGCAACCCGACUCCGUGAAGCUGGAUUCGCUAGUAAUCGCGCAUCAGCCAUGGCGCGGUGAAUACGUUCCCGGGCCUUGUACACACCGCCCGUCAAGCCAUGGGAGCCGGGAGCGCUUGAAGUGCGUCGCCGCGAGGCGCGCCCUAGAGCGAGACCGGUGACUGGGGCUAAGUCGUAACAAGGUAUC
Molecule: ribosomal RNA, 243 nt
Filed under: uncultured bacterium
Lineage: Bacteria
Description: partial 16S ribosomal RNA
Rfam family: Bacterial small subunit ribosomal RNA
Source: RNAcentral